AGAAAAGAAAAGAAGAAAGGAGAAAAGACUAGAAGAGGAAGGGAAUUCAUAUUUCCCAUUCAUUUUCUUCUCCUUCCCGUGAACAUGCAUAAACCCCACUUCUCCAUCUUUUCUCUUCUACACUAAAUUGCUUCAAAAUUUCACCUCCAAUAAAUUACCCAUCUUCUCCCAACACCUUUCCAAAGUAGAGUUUGAAGAAAAGAAGAGAAAAUCAAAGAGAAAAUUCAAGGUUGAGGGAGAGUGAAUUACAGUAACCAAGGGUUGGAAAAUUUAAAGAAGAAGUGGAAAGGAAGAGUGGAAGUUCCAAAGGGAAAGAAAAGGAAGAGUAGAGAACUAAAGCUUGUGAAAGAUUUUGGAAAGUUAAGCCAGUUGAGCUUGGAUAAAAGAUUCCUCUUGUUAGAUGUGUGGAGUUCCUCCCUCUCCCUUUGGGAUGGACUGUAAAAAUGGCUUUUGUGAUUUUGCUUGAGGUCCCGUGCUUGCAUGGUGGUCCUAUCGGUUCAUGCUAUUCUUUUUGCAACAUUUAGUGUGACUUAUAUGGGAUGGUGUUCUUUCGGAGGCUUGAAGAUUAUUGCUCGUCUCCAUGGAACCCUUCAUUGGCAGAUUGUUUGAUUGUGCUUGUUUUGGUUCAAUAUACGUGUUUUGCUUUGUGA
Manihot esculenta (cassava) is the source of this 650-nucleotide long non-coding RNA. RefSeq lists it as uncharacterized. The transcript has 3 exons. Lineage: Eukaryota; Viridiplantae; Streptophyta; Magnoliopsida; Malpighiales; Euphorbiaceae. The record is from RefSeq and is a predicted model, not a curated record.